This is a long non-coding RNA of Chenopodium quinoa (quinoa), 1044 nucleotides long. RefSeq lists it as uncharacterized. Lineage: Eukaryota; Viridiplantae; Streptophyta; Magnoliopsida; Caryophyllales; Amaranthaceae. The record is from RefSeq and is a predicted model, not a curated record. The transcript is spliced from 4 exons.
CUUCAUUUCUAGGAAAUCUUGAUACCUUACCCUAACACUCCGAGUAUUCUGUUUCUAGAGUUGAUAACUCGUCGCCGGAAAACCGCUCUUUUUUCGCCGGGAAACCGCCAUCCUCUCACUUUUCCACAGCCAUCAUCUUAGUUUUCCGGUCACAAGGUAAAACUAAUACUCCAUUACAAUAAUUGAUUUUCUUGUUUAUUGAGUUCUUCUUUGCAAUGUGUCAAGCAUAACCCACCUCAAACCCCUGUUCAUCUGCAUCUUCAAACCCCAUUAUCGGUAUGGCUUCACUUUGGUGCAGCAGUUGCACUCGACGUCAGCCGGUUGAGACCACUGCAUUGGGUUUAAUAUGUUGUAUUAUUUGUGGGAAGGUCAUCGAUCAAGUUAUUUAUUCAGACGACGAUGAGCCAAGCUAUGUCAAAAACACAAGAGGAAAAGUAGGGGGUGAUGCUGAAUCUGAGAAUGGAAAAAUUCUUUCCAUUGUGACCCAGGGGGAUGCUGAAAAAAGAAUUUAACGUGCACCAGCAACCAGACAUGAAGAGACAAUCACUGCAGGCGUGCUCGAAAAACCAAUGCCUGUUGGCUCGUUAGCCCUUUAACUGAAAACUUCAGCAAUGUGCAAGUUUGGUUAAUGAUGUAUUAGGAGGUUAAAGCCAUCUCUUUCUAGGGAUUUCUUUAUGACCCAAAUGUGGUUGUAGUGUAAACUCAAGAUCUAUCUCUUUUUCUUUUUCUAUACGCAGUGAUAAAAAUGCUCGGGGUUGUAUCUUUCAUUUUUUCGACACAUAAUAAUCAGUAGCAAUUACGUCUUCCAUUUGAUAACAAACACUCAAUCUGUACUCUAGCAGUCUAGUAGAGUAAUAGUCAAACUCAAUCUCUUUAAGCACGGUAAAUGUGUGAUACUCUGUAUUAUUUUUUUUCUUAAGAUUUUCUUGAUUGAGAUAGCUUUCGCCUUUGCUUUGUAAGAUCACUAACUUUUUGUGCAUAACAUUCAAAUUUUGCCACAUUUUUCUUCCAUUUUGCAAUACAAAACAUCAUGAUCAAUUUAAC